GAUGAACGCUGGCGGCGUGCCUAAUACAUGCAAGUCGAGCGAACGGACCCUACGCUUGCUUCUCUGAUGUUAGCGGCGGACGGGUGAGUAACACGUGGAUAACCUCCCUAUAAGACUGGGAUAACUUCGGGAAACCGGCGCUAAUACCGGAUGAUAUUUUGAACCGCAUGGUGCAAAAGUGAAAGACGGUCUUGCUGUCACUUAUAGCUGGAUCCGCGCUUCAUUAGCUAGUUGGUACGGUAACGGCUUACCAAGGCAACGAUGCAUAGCCGACCUGAGGGGGGGAUAGGCCACACGGGAACGGGACCGCGGUCCAGAGUCCUACGGGAGGCAGCAGUAGGGAAUCUUACGCAGUGGGCGGAAGCCUGGCGGAGCAACGCCGCGUGAGUGAUGAAGGUCUUCGGAUCGUGAAACUCUGUUAUUAGGGAAAAACAUAUGUGUAAGUAACUGAGCACAUCUUGACGGUACCGAAUCAGAAAGCAACGGCUAACUACGUG
RNAcentral lists this ribosomal RNA (497 nucleotides) under uncultured bacterium. RNAcentral's name for it is "partial 16S ribosomal RNA". It matches the Rfam family "Bacterial small subunit ribosomal RNA", at positions 28 to 507 of the family's 1533-position model. The record is from RNAcentral.